AUUUGUCUGGUUAAUUCCGAUAACGAACGAGACCUUAACCUGCUAACUAGAUUCAUCAGUAUUACUUUUGAUAUCUUCUUAGAGGGACUAUGUAAAACAAAUACGUGGAAGUUUGAGGCAAUAACAGGUCAGUGAUGCCCUUAUAUGUCCUGGGCUGCACGCGUGCUACACUGAUGCAUACAACAAGUGCCUAACCAGACAUGGUAUGGCAAUCUCGAAUAUGCAUCGAUAUGGGGAUAGAUCUUUGCAAUUAUAGAUCUUGAACGAGGAAUUCCUAGUAAGUGCAAGUCAUCAUCUUGCAUUGAUUAUGUCCCUGCCCUUUGUACACACCGCCCGUCGCUCCUACCGAUACCGGGUGAUCCGGUGAACCUUUUGGACUCUUUACUGGGAAAGAUAAGUAAACCAUAUCACCUAGAGGAAGGAGAAGUCGUAACAAGGUUUCCGUAUGUGAACCUGCRGAAGGAUCA
Molecule: ribosomal RNA, 467 nt
Filed under: uncultured ciliate
Lineage: Eukaryota; Ciliophora
Description: SSU rRNA
Rfam family: Eukaryotic small subunit ribosomal RNA
Source: RNAcentral